GUUGGCAUCUGCGAUGGUAGCUAAAUAAAUGAGAUUUCUAUGUAACACAAUCUGGUACUGGACACACUUGUUCGCUCGACCCUUGUUCUGAUACUCCACAAUACAGCAGAUCAGCUGGUCAUUCUCCAGGAGCUUCCUUUGAUUUUGGAUGGUCUCUUGAUUGGCUUCUGCCUUGCCCCUCAUCCAGUCAGGUACCAAGGCCACAGACAUCACAGGGGGCCCAGGUCAGCACCCCACCUCAGAAAAAGACGCCCAUUGGCAGCCAGACAGACGCUAUCUCCGCUCUGAAGGCUAGAGAGUAAAUUUGGAUCCCAACACUAGAAUUUACAAGGCACCACUGAGGUUUCAGAGAGGGUUGUUAUCUGGUCAGGGAAAACCAGAAUUUAUGAGGCGCCAGUAAGGUUUCAGAGAGGGUUAUUAUCUGGUCAGGGAAAACCAAGCAUGAAUGAGUUCAAGGCAUGGGCAGGCAUUAGAAAUUGCAGUAAUUUAUAGUAAAACAGAAAUUAACUUUUCAUGACUUUGUGAUGAGAUGGCUCGCAAUCUUUAGAUGGAAUUAGGCUGGGUUUAUCAUUCCCCCCUUGUCUUAUGUGUCCCUUUCAAAUCUUUGAUAGGGUAGAGGAAGAGCUCUGGAGGAAUUUUAAUUCCUCAGGUGACAGUCCCC
This 661-nucleotide long non-coding RNA is filed under the name Marmota monax (woodchuck). Lineage: Eukaryota; Metazoa; Chordata; Mammalia; Rodentia; Sciuridae. The record is from RNAcentral.